Molecule: ribosomal RNA, 274 nt
Filed under: uncultured bacterium
Lineage: Bacteria
Description: partial 16S ribosomal RNA
Rfam family: Bacterial small subunit ribosomal RNA
Source: RNAcentral
AUACGGAGGAUGCAAGCGUUACUCGGAAUCACUGGGCGUAAGGCGCGCGCAGGCGGCCUGAUAAGUUGGAUGUGAAAGCCUACGGCUCAACCGUAGAACUGCAUCCAAAACUGUCAGGCUAGAGUGUGGGAGAGGAAGAUGGAAUUAGUUGUGUAGGGGUAAAAUCCGUAGAGAUAACUAGGAAUACCAAAAGCGAAGGCAAUCUUCUGGAACACUACUGACGCUGAGGCGCGAAGGCGUGGGGAGCAAACAGGAUUAGAAACCCCUGUAGUCC